Non-coding RNA from Mycena latifolia, 92 nucleotides. NCBI's taxonomy places the organism in Eukaryota, Fungi, Basidiomycota, Agaricomycetes, Agaricales, Mycenaceae. The record is from the annotation of a GenBank genome assembly.
GACGUAGUGGCGGAAGAAAAUCGCACCUGCCUCCAGCGUUUAGCAGGAAUGGGUUCCAGCAGGAAUUCCUGGUUCGAGUCCAGGCUAGGUCU